Molecule: long non-coding RNA, 2401 nt
Organism: Quercus lobata
Lineage: Eukaryota; Viridiplantae; Streptophyta; Magnoliopsida; Fagales; Fagaceae
Exons: 2
Source: RefSeq, a predicted model, not a curated record
UUACGACACUGACGCGUGGAAGGCCAAAGCCCAAAAGCUAACUAAAUAGAGCCUUUCUAGUUGAGAACCAACGAAUCCCACAUCGUCUAGUUACACAAACCUUUAAGUCUUUAUUAGAAGGAAGGAGGCAGAUAAACUUGUCCCUUCGGGGACAUCCGAUAAAAUUGGAACGAUACAGAGAAGAUUAGCAUGGCCCCUGCGCAAGGAUGACACGCAUAAAUCGAGAAAUGGUCCAAAUUUUUUUUCUUUUUCAAAAUCCAAUCGCCCCUCUCUUGCUCCACAGAUAGUCAAUUUAAGCUCCAGACAAGUCUUGGUAACGCUAAUAGUACACAGAAUUUUCAUGUGUGAGCUCCAUUUGGGCAAAGUUUUUAAGGAUUAAAUCAAUUCCUAUUAGGCUAGAAGUUUCUUUGGUAUGAUCUGAAUGCUAGUUCUGACUAUCAUACUUUAAGAAGCUGCUUUAGUUUAGCAGAUAAGUGAUUUAUCUCUGUCUUAUUUUUUUGAUAAGUAAUUUAUCUGUCUUAUUAUUAUUACAGUAUGGAUUGUUAGCUAACUGUGUUUUUCUUCUAAAUAUUUUGUUCUUAUUCUGUUGCUAGUUUACUUUUAAAUAAACAGUCAAUCUGCUCGUAUGUUAUCAACAACUGUGGCUGCCCACAUCAAUAUAAAAUCCUACUGAGUCAAGUAUCAUAUCAUUUUAAGAGUGCUUUUAACCAGGAUGGUAUUUGAUUUGUUCCAGAAGAAUUGAGUGGUGAUGUUUGCAAUCCUAUUGGUUGGAGGAGAUUUAAAGUCUGCAUUCUCAAGUUGGUAUGUGAAGGAAAAUUAGUUUUAGUUGUAAGUUGUAACUAGUAAGCUUUUCUUAAACGUAGAUAGGAUUUACUUGUGAGGUUUAAAGAAAGAUAUAAGUUUAAAUGAUAACCUACAGAUGACAUUGGCACAAAGAGGAAUGGCAGGGAAAGCAUUGCAAGAGGCGAGGGCCAAGGAGGUGGCUUGUUUGAUUUUUGAUUGCAUUGUUGUGUUUCACAUGGUUUUCUUCUUAAUGUAAAGAAGUGGAGUACCUUGAUAAAAUUUGUUAUUGCCCACUUGCAACUGUUAUUUUAAAACCUAAUUAGAUGUGAUUAGAAUGGCGAAAUAAUAAACACAAGAAAACUUCUUGCGUUUACACAUGCUUUGCCUGGCUAAACUUACAGGUUGAUUCUCCUCAGGAUUAUCCAUGUGGUCCAAAAGCCUCACCUCAUAAUCUUACCCCAUUAAUAGUCUUGGUUUGAACUUGAGCCGUUGUGGCCCUAAAAAAUAAGCCUAAUUGAUACAGAUUUCAAUUGUUGAACCCAAAGACAAGAAUCAAUAGAAAAUAAAAUUUAGCAUACAGAAUGUGAUGCCUACAAUUUAAAUUUUGAAAUAAAAUAAAAUAUAAUAAAUUUGUAAUUUUGCACAAAGUAGUGUGCAACUGAGUUUGAGUAUAUUUUAGUGUGCAACUGAGUGCGAGUAUACUUGCUCUAUCAGUUACGUUUAACUAAUGCUCAAGUUAUACUAACUCAAUUGAAGAAGUCCUUAAUUUGUGAUUUCUUAAAUCGUUUCGAGUUCCUAAUAUUGUGCCUUCAAUGCUGAUAUGAAAUUUUCUACGAGUAGAAAAAUUUGAUUGCAGAAAAGCGAUUACAGAAGGGAAGAAGAGACAGCUUCCUUCCAAUUUACAUCAGCAAAAAUGGGAGGACCAAAUGAGGAAUCAAAAAACCCACAAAGGCAUUCUUAAAUGACCAGGUUGCAAGUGAGUGAGCUGCUGCAUUGGCUUCCUUGAAUACCUGGUUGAAGGCAAUAUGAGGGAGGUCGCUUGCAUAGGGUCUUCACACCAUGUAAGAGGCCUUGGAUUCUCCAUGUGGGUUUGGGGUCUGCAUUAUUAAUAGCCUUUAUGCACGCUUGGGAAUCACCUUCUAAUCACAACAUUCUGCAGAUUCUGGUUAGAUGCCAGACACACGGACCAUCUUAAUGCUUUUGCUUCAGCUUGGACCGGGAUAUUGGUGAUACGUUCUUUGUGUGAACAGCUGCAUCACAAUUCAGUUUAAACUGACCUGAAGCAGGCAUGCACCAUUGACUAUUAGCCCUGCUUCUAUCACUUUGAUGAUAGCUCUUCAACACAGACCAAUGCUCCAAGAAGAUCCUACUUAAGCCUCCUUGAAGGCCUUCAUGGGAAAUGCUUUUCCUUUCAAACACAUCAUGGUUUCUCCAUUUCAAGAUAAACUCCAUGAUUGAAGUGCUGUAUAGAUAGAAUAAAGCUUUUCCUGUCUUCUUGGUCAAACAAGAAGUUGCUUGGGGGGUUGAUGAUGAAUUUCAUCAGCCGCUCCGCAUUGUUUGCCAACUGAAUUCUUAUAAUGCAUCUGCUACCAAACCACACGGCUUUAGCUAUCUCAAA